Molecule: non-coding RNA, 627 nt
Organism: Onthophagus taurus
Lineage: Eukaryota; Metazoa; Arthropoda; Insecta; Coleoptera; Scarabaeidae
Source: RefSeq, a predicted model, not a curated record
UUUUGUUCAACAAACACCGGAUUAUUUCCUCUGAAUCCUCUUUUAGUACGGACUGUGGACACCUAGUUUUGUACUCAAGCUCUUACUUCUGGAAAAUUAUAUUAAUUGUAAGUUUUUUGUAACAUUUUAAUUACGUUCUAACAUCUAUAACAUAAUUUUAGUUUAAUAAAGAAUUUAGUCAACAAUUCGCCGACGAAGCGUAUAUUCUCAUACAAUAUAAUAAAAAAUAUAUGUAAACAACCGGUUUUUCGUUAUAACGGACAAAUGUUUCUUAGUUUGAAUUCUCGUUGAAAUUUAACUUGGUUUGAAAAAUUGACCUUUUCUCGUGGAUGAGACUGAUAUAAAUCUUGUUUCCAUGCAGUUCUAAAAGUAUAACCCGAUACAUGUUAACCAUUUUGUUGUCAUUUGACUGUAAAGAGUUUAAGGAAACUGUAUAACAUUGCCUACAUGUAGAUCUCACAAGGUCCCCACAUUUCUGACGGUAAUGUUCCUUUAUUUUACUUUAGUUUUAUGUUCAUCACUGACCUUUUCUUUUCUUUACGGUUUUAGUCGUGCCUGAAGAAGACAGCUAGGCUGUCGAAACAUUUGUAGCACCAAUUGCGAAUAAUAAAAUUAUAUCAUCGUUAA